CGUCUGUUCCAAGAUGGCGACUGUUGACGAUGAUGACUUAUUGGAAGAUGAACAUUUGGAGUCAUUACUUGAAUUUCCAAUCGAAGUGCAAGAAGCUAUCGAUCAGAUGCUACCUAGUGAUGACCCUCUGGACAAGACAGAUUUCAACCCCAUAGAUUACAUCAAUACUCUGUUCCCUACAGAACAAUCUUUAGCAAACAUUGAUGAUGUUGUUGGGAAAAUUAGACACAAGAUCAGGAGACUAGAUGAUGAUAUACGGACAGUUGUUAGAGGUCAGACCAACGUUGGGGAGGAUGGUAAACUGGCCCUAGAGGAAGCACAGAAGGCCAUACAGGAACUCUUCGCCAAAAUCAUCGAUAUAAAAGACAAGGCAGAGAAGUCGGAGGAAAUGGUCAAAGAAAUCACCAGAGAUAUAAAGCAGUUAGACCAUGCGAAGAAAAACUUGACAGGAUCCAUAACAACUCUGAACCAUUUACACAUGUUGGUGGGAGGUGUUGAUUCACUCACGUCUCUAACAAGAAGAAGACAGUAUGGAGAAGUGGCAAACCUGUUACAGGGUGUGCUCAAUGUUCUUGACCACUUCCAGAAGUAUAUGAGCAUUCCACAGAUCAAACAACUGGCUGACAGAGUGAAACAGAUCCAAUCAGAGCUGGGGACACAAAUACAGGCUGAUUUUGAGGAGGCAUUCCAGGGGGCUGGGGCUAAGUAUGGUCCUGGGAACCAGCGUCAGUUAAAGGAGGCAUGUUUUGUGGUCAGUGUUUUGGACAGUAAGGUGAAGAAGGAUCUCCUAAGCUGGUUUGUCAAACUGCAGUUGUCUGAAUACCUGGUAUUGUUUGGGGAGAACCAAGAUGUGGCUUGGCUGGACAAGAUUGAUAGACGCUAUACAUGGAUCAAAAGAACUCUCGUAGACUUUGAGGAGAAGUUUGGCCAUUUGUUUCCACCUGACUGGGAGGUCAGCGAAAGGAUAUGUGCAGAGUUCUGUGAUAUAACCAGGAGAGAACUCGGUAAUAUUAUGGCUAAGAGACGGGCGGAGAUUGAUGUCAAACUGCUGCUGUUUGCCAUACAGAGGACCACCAACUUUGAGGCCCUGAUAGCUAAGAGAUUCACAGGGGUAACACUACAGGAGGGUCAGCCUAAACCGGUGGUGAGACCCUCCUCUCCACCAUCCAUUCCCUUUGAGGAGUCCAGCAACCCAUUCGAAGGGGCUUCAGACGGGGAGACAACUCCUAGUGAAGAAAGCAAGGUGGACCAGAAGCCCCAAAUCCUGUCGCCCUUCAGCGGUAUCAUUUCAAGGUGUUUUGAGGCACACCUUAGUAUCUACAUUGAAUCUCAAGACAGAAAUUUAGCCGAGUUGAUCAACCGGUUCCUGGAGGACCUGCGCCAGCAUGGCACCCCACGUAUGGAGUCAGAGGAAAGCAGUAAUGUUUUACCCAGCUGUGCAGACCUUUUUGUGUUCUACAAGAAAUGUAUGGUUCAGUGCUCACAACUAAGUACUGGUCAGCCAAUGCUUGACCUCACUCGGACAUUCCAGAAAUACCUCCGGGAGUAUGCCCAUAGAGUGCUACUCACCAACCUUCCAAAAAUGGCGAGUCAGAACACAGGCAUCAGUUCUGCAUCAGGUUUAAUACAGAGUAUCCUCAAAGAGGGCGAGGUAACAAAGUUUACAGAGGAAGAGCAGUGUAGGGUGUGUAGCAUUCUGUGUUCUGCCGAGUACUGCAUGGAGACUUCACAACAGCUGGAGGAGAAGUUAAGAGAGAAGGUUAACAAGGAAUUGUCCUUACAGAUAGACCUUAACCCUGAACAGGAUACCUUCCAUAAUGUAAUUUCCAGCUGUAUACAGGUAUUAGUGCAAGAUCUGGAGAUUGCAUGUGAGCCAGCUCUUGUAGCAAUGAGCAAGAUGUCGUGGUCCACGAUAGAGGCGGUGGGCGACCAGAGUGGAUAUGUGACUGCCCUCACCUCCCACCUCAAACACAACCUGCCAAUCAUCAGGGACAACCUGGCCGCCUCCCGCAAAUACUUCACACAAUUCUGUCUGAAAUUUGCCAAUACUUUUAUUCCUAAAUUCAUCAACCAUCUUUUCAAAUGCAAAAAUAUCAGUACAGUAGCAGCAGAACAGUUGUUACUGGAUACUCACUCCCUGAAGACAGUGUUACUAGAUCUCCCCUCCCUAGGAUCCCAGAUCAUCAGGAAGGCUCCAGCCAGUUUCACAAAGAUAGUGGUGAAAGGAAUGACAAAGGCUGAGAUGAUGCUUAAGGUUGUGAUGUCCCUCCAUGAUCCACCACAAGGAUUCGUUGACAACUACAUCAGACUACUUAGUGAUUCAGAUAUCAAUGAGUUUCAGAAAGUCUUGGAAAUGAAGGGAUUAAGAAGAGGCGACCAAAGUAAUUUAUUGGAGAUCUAUCGAGCCAGAAUUCCUGUUUCCAUGGCACUUGGGGGUCAUUCAGAAAUGUCGGUCACCUCUACACCAGAGCCGGAGUCUAGUCGUAUUAAAAAGCUAGAGAAGCUCAUCAAGAAAAGACUUUAACACAACGCUAGUGUUAAAACACAUAAUUUUGAAAUUGUUGAGUCAAAGUGAGUCGGAGACAGCAUCUUCAGAUAUUUUCAAAAGUGCUAGACCAAAACACACUCAGACCAGAAGAACGCUUUAAUAUGCUUUCAAUGCCCAUGGAUACGUUCAGUAGGUAAUGUGGUGAAUGAGUUAAACUAUUUUGAACGCUGUAGCUAUCAUCGUCACGGAUCAUAGACAUUUGUGAACUGAUGUAAUGUCAAAAGAGUGCAAUAGGAGUUAUAUAUUGGAGUUUAUUGGUACAUUGUACUGCUUGACCAUGUAAUGUAAAUUGAAAUAAUAUGGAGGUCUGCUUAGUGCUUUAACUAUGUAGGGUAAACAAUUUCAAGUUUACAGAGUUACAAAUUAUGUAUUUAAUGCUUCAUCAUGAAUUGCGUCUUAUAUUAUGGUAAUAAUUUUAGAGGUUUUCUCCAGGUUUGGACAAUAUCAUGAACCCCACAAAACCUAUACACUAUAAUUUGUAAUUGGGAGAUUUAAGUAUACAUAUAUAAAAAAAAAAUGUAUUAUUAUGUCUUCUGUGAUAAAAGGGAUAAUGCAUCCAGGUAUUUUGUGAUACAUUGGGGUAAAUAUAAAAAGGUUAAUUAUCCCAAAUUUCUACCUGUCAAUUAUGAACCCACAAGUAGACAAAAGUUGAAGUUCCCCAAAGUACUGGGGAGGAUUUAUGAAUGAGGGACCAGAUAUGUAUUUAUGUCAGGACUAUUUUAGAAAUGAACAUAAGGGGAAGGAAUGGAGGAGGCCAGGGAGGCAUACUCACCCCCACAACCACCAACAACUUCCUGUUAUACAUUACCUGCGAGAUAUACAAAUAUCGAAAAUUUAAGUAUUAUAAGUAUGUGAAUCCCCCUGCCCCUCCCUCCAACCCCCAUAAAUUUAUUAUAUCUGAAAUAGUCGGCGUCAUAAGCAUGUUAAGAUAUUGAAAUUAAAUGUAACCUCAUUGAUUACAAAAGGUUGUGUGUGAAAUUAAAGUUGAAUGCGCAUAUAUUCUCAAAUAAAAUAUGGCAAAAUGAGAUUUUCACUCCCAUUUUAGUUCAGUUGAAAUGAAGGAAAAUUCAGCUUGGGAUGAAACGUGUAUGCUGUAAAACUUCACUAUAUUGCCAAAUUUUGUUUUUACCAAGGGGUUUUGGAGAUUAAUCAAGUGAUAUAUAGGAAUUGUUAUAAGAAAAUAUGUUUGGGUUAAUUGAGGCAGCAGUGAAUUGAGGGACAUUAUAUUGUGGCUUUACUGAAUAGUUUCAGCAGUGCUGAUAUACUAGUAAAGAUCUACAUAGUGAAUUUAACACCUAAUGAAUUUGGAUAAUUUGUUUUGGUGAAAAUAUUAGUGUGCAAGAAUAUGGUUCACUUUGCGCAAGCUUACAUGUACAAUGUAUGUGUGGAGAUAAGUUGACAUCUAUAGUUACCUUUUGAUCUGUAUAUAUAUAUAUGCAUCUGAUAAUGAUAAUAAUAAAAUGUAUAUAAUUGACUGUAGUUAAUAGUGUACAUAGAAAUACCAGGUAUACUUUCCUGGUACCAAUAUUAUCAGUGUUUGGGGCCUGUGAUCCUUCCGUUUGUUAAUUGUCAUCUCCCAAUCAUGUCACCGAUUCAUCCGAGUUCUGAACACAACUUCCUUGCUAUAUGGAGGGAGCAUAUAGACAAACAAGUAUUUUGUCUUUUAAGGUAGAUCUGCAGUCAGUGUUUUUGCCAGAGAUAAAAGUUGAGGGUAAAAUCAAAAUCAAGCAUAAAUCUUGUGUUUUAGCAAGCCUCUGUCAUCUUUAGGGUCAAAAUCCAUUUUAUAUCCACUUAUAGGGGUUAACAGAAACCCUAUCCCUCAAUGAUUUAUCAUGAUUUCUUUUAAAUCAUUAAAUUAAUUUCAAAAGAGUAUAAAAAGUCAAUAAAACACCUGACUACUCAUAUUCUAUUUGAAGCCAGAUGUCUUCAAUAUAUAAACCCUCAGGUUUCAACAGAAGCUAUUAUGAAAUAUUUGCCUUACAACUGUGAAUAAAAUAAAUUUCUUCGUCAAAUUGGUGUAAUAAGACAUUUAUAUUUACUGGUAAUAUCUUUGUAAUAUUAUUUAAUCUAGAUUGAUGUCUUGUCUUCGUUGGAAAAUUAUUUAAAUUUGUUGAAAUAUCUCGACAAUAAAUAAGAUACUGUACCGUAAGUGACUAUGCAUCCUGAGCUGUACAAAUUUGGUUAUAAAUCAGAUGCUGUGAAAACAGCCAUGUCGCUGACCUUGACAUUAUACAAGGUGGAUCUACUUCAACUGUUUUUGUUUGUCAUCAAUAGAUCAAGAUAUAUGCAGUGCUGAUCUGGCCAAUUUACAUUUGUAUGCAGGACACAGAUUUUUAAAGUACUUAAUUAUUUCAUUACGAAAUAGUAUGUGGGUACACCAUUUGUUAAUUUAUGAUCUGUUGGAAUUGUUAUGUAAGAGAUUUGAUGAUAAAGGUCCAUGUUGUGUUAUUUAAAAAGAUGAAAGAUAUACAGUGAACAAAAAUAAAUAGGUAUAUGAUGUA
Molecule: unclassified non-coding RNA, 5049 nt
Filed under: Mizuhopecten yessoensis (Yesso scallop)
Lineage: Eukaryota; Metazoa; Mollusca; Bivalvia; Pectinida; Pectinidae
Description: vacuolar protein sorting-associated protein 53 homolog, transcript variant X1
Source: RNAcentral